AGGAAUAUUGGGCAAUGGAGGCGACUCUGACCCAGCCAUGCCGCGUGCAGGAAGACUGCCCUAUGGGUUGUAAACUGCUUUUAUACAGGAAGAAACUGACGGUACUGUAAGAAUAAGGACCGGCUAACUCCGUGCCAGCAGCCGCGGUAAUACGGAGGGUCCGAGCGUUAUCCGGAAUCAUUGGGUUUAAAGGGUCCGCAGGCGGUCAAUUAAGUCAGAGGUGAAAUCCCAUAGCUCAACUAUGGAACUGCCUUUGAUACUGGUUGACUUGAGUUAUACGGAAGUAGAUAGAAUGUGUAGUGUAGCGGUGAAAUGCAUAGAUAUUACACAGAAUACCGAUUGCGAAGGCAGUCUACUACGUAUAUACUGACGCUCAUGGACGAAAGCGUGGGGAGCGAACAGGAUUAGAUACCCUGGUAGUCCACGCCGUAAACGAUGGAUACUAGUUGUUGGGCAUUAGCUCAGUGACUAAGCGAAAGUGAUAAGUAUCCCACCUGGGGAGUACGGUCG
This 510-nucleotide ribosomal RNA is filed under the name uncultured bacterium. RNAcentral describes it as "bacterial SSU rRNA". It matches the Rfam family "Bacterial small subunit ribosomal RNA", at positions 357 to 888 of the family's 1533-position model. The record is from RNAcentral.